CAGAGGGUGCGAGCGUUUAAUCGGAAUUACUGGGCGUAAAGCGUGCGUAGACGGUUAUUUAAGUCGGGUGUGAAAGCCCCGGGCUCAACCUGGGAAUUGCAUUCGAGACUGAAUAGCUAGGGUACGGUAGAGGGAAGCGGAAUUUCCGGUGUAGCGGUGAAAUGCGUAGAUAUCGGAAGGAACAUCAGUGGCGAAAGCGGCUUCCUGGACCAGUACCGACGUUCAGGCACGAAAGCGUGGGGAGCAAACAGGAUUAGAUACCCUGGUAGUCCACGCCAUAAACGAUGAGGACUAGACGUUGGAGGGGUAAGCCUUUCAGUGUCGUAGCUAACGCGCUAAGUCCUCCGCCUGGGGAGUACGGCCGCAAGGUUG
RNAcentral lists this ribosomal RNA (372 nucleotides) under uncultured organism. RNAcentral's name for it is "bacterial SSU rRNA". It matches the Rfam family "Bacterial small subunit ribosomal RNA", at positions 526 to 896 of the family's 1533-position model. The record is from RNAcentral.